AUUGAACGCUGGCGGCAUGCCUUACACAUGCAAGUCGAACGGCAGCACGGGAGCAAUCCUGGUGGCGAGUGGCGAACGGGUGAGUAAUAUAUCGGAACGUGUCCAGUUGUGGGGGAUAGCCGGCGAAAGCCGGAUUAAUACCGCAUACGACCUACGGGUGAAAGCGGGGAUCGCAAGACCUCGCGCUAUUGGAGCGGCCGAUGUCAGAUUAGCUUGUUGGUGGGGAAAAGCCUACCAAGGCGACGAUCUGUAGCUGGUCUGAGAGGACGACCAGCCACACUGGGACUGAGACACGGCCCAGACUCCUACGGGAGGCAGCAGUGGGGAAUUUUGGACAAUGGGCGCAAGCCUGAUCCAGCCAUGCCGCGUGCGGGAAGAAGGCCU
Molecule: ribosomal RNA, 384 nt
Filed under: uncultured bacterium
Lineage: Bacteria
Description: bacterial SSU rRNA
Rfam family: Bacterial small subunit ribosomal RNA
Source: RNAcentral